GCCCGCUUCCUAAUGCUCCACGUCCUCCACGGCUCCACAGGCGCUCAAUGUUCAUCUUCCCAGUAGAACUGUCCGCCUUCACGAUAUAGGCCUUAAUGGCCACAAAUUCUCUGCAUCGUAAUGCCUUCUCGCCACAAAUUCUCAUGAAAACCCCCGAUGCAGCCCACCAUCAUCAUUGCCCUUCAAAUAGGCAAGAAACUGUUCGGAAGAUCUGAACCGCCGCCUCCAUGUUUAAAAAGCUACCUAUGUUGCCGUCGACAAACAGCGCCGGCCUGCUCGCGAUGCCAUCGCUGGCACGGCUCCACUUUGGUAGCUCUCCGUUCUAGAUUUCUUUUCUACCAUUUUUUAAAAUUAUCUCCUCCCUUUUGAUUGUCAAUCUAUUAGCUUGCGCGCCGGCUACAAACCUGCUCGACGUUUUGCUUCCCCUGCGAAUUGAUUCGAUUUUUCAUUGAAUUAUGCCUGUUGCUCACUGAAUUGGAUUUUGUAUACUCAUCGCUCAAGCAUGGAGGAACAACUUACAUUGAUUCGAAGUUGUAUUGCGGUUCGAGGAGUUGUCUGACUAUUUUACCUUUGAGUUCAUAAUAAUCAUUCUGAAGCAGGACUAGCAAGGGGCCAUAUGUACAUCGAUCCAUUCUACAUGACUGCUGUUCUGGUCAUACUUCUUUUCCAAUCUACCUAUUAUGUCUCUUCACUUUGCUCAAUUUCUAUUAAACAGAUUCGUUUCUUUUGGCCUACAUAUGCACCACUCAUGAUGAUCUCACAAUGUAAGCUGUAACUGGACUUUCAACUUCCUUUCCAUUUUUCACUUCAUUUACAUAUAUAUGGUGUAUGAUAUCAUAGUAGUUUCUGAUUUUUUUUUUCUACGUAUGCACCACUCAUGAUGAUCUCAGAAUGUAAGGUGUAAGUGGACUUUCAAUCUCCUUGGUGUAUAUUUAUCGUAGUAGUUUCUGAUUUUUUUUUUGCCAAUUGCUUAUUGUUUAUUGGUCUUACAACAUACUGAGAAAACCAGAAAAGCAUAGCGCAGAGCAACCAUGCAAGAAGACAAUUGCCCAAGACCCCAAGUCAACACACAUUCAAAUAAUCAGUUGUUUAUUUCAUCAGCGCCAAGUUGCUGUUUAUCACAGUGAGUCUGUAUCUCACACGAACAACAACGGCCAUGUCACCCUCUCUAAAGCUACUGAUACUCGAUUAUUCGGGUUUAUUUGGUAAUUCAUUUCACUUCGGUUUUCAACUACUGAACUAUAGUUAUAGAUACUAUGAAGGGUCUAAGAAAUUAUAUAUUACUACUCAUUUUCUCAAAACUUUGCGACCAACAGAUUAGAAUAUCAUGCCCUCCUCAUCACUCUAUAUAACAGCAACAGUUACAUUUCCCUCAUCCACAAAAAAAUACAAAUAAAAAUUUCAAACAACAGCCUUCUCCUGUCUGUGAUGCAUGGAGGGACAACCAGGGCAAAACAGCAUUGCAAUCAGGCCAACAACACAUGUACUUCCACCUUCAACUCAUCGACAAAUAGAAGCUAGCAAGAUGUAUACCGAGGAAAUGAAGAAACUCAGGGGGGGCUAAACAACCACUGCGUCUAACUUUACAAGAGGGGAGCAAAGACGGACCUUCCCGUCCGGACGACAUCACAAACAUACUUGGAUCUGAUCAUCCGUUCUCCAGAAUUGAAUGCACCAAAUAUGUAAAAAACACGUCGCAGUUAUCUUUUAUGAUGACAAGAUCUACAAUGACACUGAAUAGCUAUCAAUUCACCGAUUGAGUACUCAGAUCAUAUUAUUGACUUCGAAAUCAUGAAAUUCCCUAUUUUACA
Long non-coding RNA from Lolium rigidum, 1811 nucleotides. RefSeq lists it as uncharacterized. Lineage: Eukaryota; Viridiplantae; Streptophyta; Magnoliopsida; Poales; Poaceae. The record is from RefSeq and is a predicted model, not a curated record. The transcript has 3 exons.